UCUUGAUGGCCUGGCUCCUUGAGCAAGGCACAGCGCCGGAGGUGAUCCCUAACGGGUCUAUGAUUAUGAGUGUAAGACACCCUAGUCUGAACAUUCGGGUCAUAGACUCGUUAAAUUUUCUACCGAUGGCGCUGGCCAAGCUACCGGGAUGCUUCGGUCUCACCGAGUUGAAAAAGGGAUACUUUCCCCAUCUCUUUAACUCCCGAGAAAACCAGAGUUAUGUCGGACCGCUACCGGAGCCCCACUAUUACAGCCCGGAUACUAUGAGCACUCCAGCCCGAAAAGCAUUUCUAUCCUGGCACGAAGAACACAAGACGGACAUGUUCAACUUCCAAGAAGAAAUGCUUGCCUAUUGCAGAUAAGACGUGGACAUUCUUCGUCGCUGUUGCCUGGAAUUUCGAGCCCAGUUUUUGGAUGUGGCGGGUGUGGAUCCAUUCCAAUACGUGACCAUUGCAUCAGCCUGUAUGGCAACGUAUCGGAGUGGCCACAUUCAGCCCAACACGCUUGCCAUGGUGCCCACACACGGAUACGUGAACUCCACGAAUUACAGCCCUGAUUCGAUCCGGUGGUUGGACUUUGUUGCUGCUUCGGAAGGCAUAGCCAUUCAACAUGCGUUGAACGGUUCCGGAGAGCACAGAGUCGCCAGAAUCUCGGUAGA
Molecule: long non-coding RNA, 658 nt
Organism: Stegodyphus dumicola
Lineage: Eukaryota; Metazoa; Arthropoda; Arachnida; Araneae; Eresidae
Source: RefSeq, a predicted model, not a curated record